Molecule: long non-coding RNA, 684 nt
Filed under: Cucumis sativus (cucumber)
Lineage: Eukaryota; Viridiplantae; Streptophyta; Magnoliopsida; Cucurbitales; Cucurbitaceae
Description: long non-coding RNA (CSAT_LNC001683)
Source: RNAcentral
AAACUCCUUAGCAAGAUAUUAUAACUGACAACAUUUGGACUGAAUCCCUUAGAAGGCAAUUCCCUAAAUAACUGCAUGGCAUCCUCUGUCCUACCUUCUUUGCACAACCCAGUCAACAAAACAUUGUAGCUAACCAAGUUAGGUUUCCCACCCUUUGCAAUUAUCUCAUCCAAAAGCUUACUUGCUUCAUCAGCUCCUCUUUCCUUGUAUGCAGCUUCAAGCAAAAAAGAGUAUGUAUAAGCAUUAGGAACCAACCCCUUCUGGAUUAAUCUGUCUAAAAGUUGCAAGCUCUGAGUCAAGUUUCCAUGCAUACAAAGCCCUCUCACAAGUGAAUUAUAAGUAGCAGUGUUAGUAGGAUAACCAUAUUCCUCCAUUUUGUCCACUAGUUGCAUUGCAUAACCAACAUUCCCUUUUCUACACAAAGAACUAACCAAAAAGGUAUAAGAUGCUGCAUCUGGAAUGAUUCCAGACCCAAUCAUCAUCUCCAUUACCUUAAUAGCUUUUCUCAUCUUACAUGUCUUACAGAGAUCAUACAAUAACUGAGUUGCUUGAAAUACAUCAGGCUUUUGCCCCUUCUCAACCAUGAACUCUAAAUGAAAAAAAGCAUCAUUAAGUCUAAGUUCUUUACUCUUUUGAUCAAGUUUCCCAAUCUUCCAAUUUGGAAGUGUGAAAAUGGUGUCCUUU